GGGCUGUAAGCAGAAAUCGGCUAAAAGGACGCAUUGGCAGGACAUUUCGCAGGAAGGCGAAUCACAGCAGUUCAGAGAGGAAAAAAGCGAGAAAAAGCCUGUGCUAAUUUCGACUGGGUAGCAUACUUUUUGGCGCGCUACUGCUUUAAUCCUGCAGUCUAAGUGAAUGUGAAAUGUGACAAGCCAAGUGACAGUUAGCAAAAGCCAAAUAAAAUGGAGAUUGGAGAUUGGAGAAAGGCGGCAGGAGAAAGGAGAAAGCAACCAAAAGAGAUGGAAACAACAACUUGCAGAUGCUGAGAUGCCGUUCAAGGCCCCAGGAGACAUUUAACAUAAUAAAAACGAACGUGUGCGGCAUUUUUGUGUUGCCUUUUGGCCAAGUUAACUCCUGUUUGUGUGUGUGUGGGUUUGUUUAAUGCUAAUAUCAGACCAAAACACACACACAGAAACAUACAAACAAACAAUAUUGCAAAUGUGUGUGCGUCAGGCAGUUGGCAAAAGUGUCGUAAAUCGUUUAGACAGCGCAACGUGGCCCAGAAAAAAGAAGGAGAAGAGGGCCAAAAACGAUAUGUAAACGACACAGUAGCAGUCGCCGUGGGAAAAACUGGGAAAAUACCCAAACAAAAAGCCAAGAAGAUGGAAGAUCUGCCGAUGAAGUGCAUUUGUUGCUCAUAAGUGAGGAUAACAAGUCUAAAAAAGGUGUGCCAAAGAUACUUUUUACAACGAUGACUGAUUGACGACUCUGUUGACUUAUAAAUGCUGUAUAAAAAAUACCUCCAAAAUGAUGAUGAUGUGUGGCCCAUCAAUAUUGUGAUAUAUAUAAAUAUAGC
Molecule: long non-coding RNA, 827 nt
Organism: Drosophila subpulchrella
Lineage: Eukaryota; Metazoa; Arthropoda; Insecta; Diptera; Drosophilidae
Exons: 3
Source: RefSeq, a predicted model, not a curated record